Molecule: long non-coding RNA, 1822 nt
Organism: Xenopus tropicalis (tropical clawed frog)
Lineage: Eukaryota; Metazoa; Chordata; Amphibia; Anura; Pipidae
Exons: 9
Source: RefSeq, a predicted model, not a curated record
UUGUUGGUAGAGUGAAUAAUUUGCUAUGUAAACAGUGUAAUUUAGAAAUAAAAAUCAUGACAGAAACUGUGAGAGAGGCUGUAAAUGUGUGGGGGUUUUCUCUGGACAUAAGGCACUUGAAAGGGGACUUUAUUAUUUAUAAGUACAUUACAGGACAUUAGAGACGGAUAGAAAGGGGGGGGGUUCAUAGAAAAGAUGGGCCCAUUGCCUCACCUGUAUGUACAUGGGCUAAAUAAAACCCCUUUUUACUGAGCAAAAACUACUAGAGCGCCACAGGAUUUUCUGCAUAAAAGAGGGAAAGGUGCGACCCCAACCUGUCAGCUCGCAGUAGUGCGACUUGGUUUAUUUGGUUUGGCCGAGUGAAUAACUUGAUCUUUCUUCCCUUAACCUGGCGGUUCUGUGCCUGGAUAUCACCCUCAUCCCCGGCUCCUCAUAUAUACACUCUGAGAGAGAAUGAUGGUUGCCUCUCUGACAUGUCUGCUAAAACGUCCCUGUAUUAGUUGCUUAAGCUAAAUACAGGGUAUGUAAAUCUGCAAAAAUGGAGACCACAUCCCCACAUCCAGGCUCUUCCUUAUGUUCUCCUGACUCUCUAAAGGAUACUGUUCCUAAACAGUGGAUGACAGUACUGGAGUCAUUAGCUGCACAUGCUGGAAGAGCACGGCACCAACAGAAGUCUCUUCUCCAGAGAAGCUCUCUUACUGGCUUCUGUACAAAGAGGAAAGUAAGAAAGCCAAGUUGGACAUUGGAGACACCAUCAGGGUUCGAGGCAGCAUCAAGGUGUUUCAGGAUCAAAGAGAGAUCGUGGCCUCUGUUUUCUACAAAGUGGAGAACCCUAAAUUGGAUAUACAAAUGGCAAGGAUGUUAGAUCUUCCCUACAUGUACAGAAAUGUCUAUGACAAGCCGUUUGCUAUCCCGGAGCAUUUAAAAAAAAUUAAUCCGCAGGACAGACCGAUCACCAUAUUGUAACACAAUCACAUCUGAUCAUGCUAUUGAUAACGGGAAUUAGAAAGUGUUGACUCCUUAAUUGCUAUUGCUAGCCGUCCAGUUAGUGAUUUCAAGACUGAGUCCAUGGAAAGUCCAAACAAAUCCGCAGCAUAUUCAAAGAAGCCAUCCAGCUGCUGCUUAAGGAAGGUUACAUUUUCCAAAAGGACCAAAAUCGGGAGGUUUAUCAGGUCACUGAUCAGGAUAAAGAUCUACACAAACUUACCCUUAAUAUCAUUAAAGAAGACUGCAGAAGGCAAAAGCGUAGAGGACACGUGGCGAUUUGCGACCGAUGGUCGCACGCAUGAACAAACUUUCAAUUGGCCACUAACCGUUCAGGGCUGAAACGGCAGAUAAGGAGGCCUGAUGGUACCCAGCAGUCUCAUACUCUGGAAGAUGGUAUCCCAGGUGAAGGUGGAGAUGUUGGUGCAAACAGGAGUUGCGGAGGAUGAUCCGGCCUUUGUGCAGCAGCGAGAGCUGAUCUUGAAGCCCACAGUAUUGCCAACUGCCCGCUGAUGUUAUUUACCUAUGCUCAAUGGAAAUACCAUGGUGUUAUUAUUGGCUGGCUUACACACAUCCCAAUAUACUCACUUCAGCCAGCUGGAACUUAAGAAUGAAAAGCCCGGAACGCUGUUUCUGUCCCUUGGUGUAGCUUCAUCUUCCUGGGCCCCAAGGAAAGACAGGGGCGGCUCUCCAUUAUGUGGCUGGAAUAAUUUUGCUGGUGGCUGCAUGAAAGGGAAAAAAUAAUUAUAGUGAAUAUGAUACAAAAUCUAUUGUGAACAGUUGGCCAUGUAUUUUAUAAUAUACAAUAAAGCCUGCAAUGGAAAUAUGCAACUUUUCA